ACCGGGACGGACGAACCUCUGGUGUGCCAGUUGUUCUGCCAAGGGCAUGGCUGGUUGGCUACGUUCGGGAGGGAUAACCGCUGAAAGCAUCUAAGCGGGAAGCCUGCUUCGAGAUGAGUAUUCCCACCUCCUUGAGAGGGUAAGGCUCCCAGUAGACGACUGGGUUGAUAGGCCGGAUAUGGAAGCCCUGUAAGGGGUGGAGUUGACCGGUACUAAUAGGCCGAGGGCUUGUCCUCAGUUG
This 241-nucleotide ribosomal RNA is filed under the name Streptomyces albidoflavus. RNAcentral describes it as "partial 23S ribosomal RNA". It matches the Rfam family "Bacterial large subunit ribosomal RNA", at positions 2691 to 2925 of the family's 2925-position model. The record is from RNAcentral. Lineage: Bacteria; Bacillati; Actinomycetota; Actinomycetes; Kitasatosporales; Streptomycetaceae.